AACGAACGCUGGCGGCAGGCUUAACACAUGCAAGUCGAGCGGAUGAGGGGUGCUUGCACCCCGAUUCAGCGGCGGACGGGUGAGUAAUGCCUAGGAAUCUGCCCGAUAGUGGGGGACAACGUUUCGAAAGGAACGCUAAUACCGCAUACGUCCUACGGGAGAAAGUGGGGGCUCUUCGGACCUCACGCUAUCGGAUGAGCCUAGGUCGGAUUAGCUAGUUGGUGGGGUAAAGGCUCACCAAGGCGACGAUCCGUAGCUGGUCUGAGAGGAUGAUCAGUCACACUGGAACUGAGACACGGCCCAGACUCCUACGGGAGGCAGCAGUGGGGAAUAUUGGACAAUGGGCGAAAGCCUGAUCCAGCCAUGCCGCGUGUGUGAAGAAGGUCUUCGGAUUGUAAAGCACUUUAAGUCGGGAGGAAGGGCUGCAGGUUAAUACCUUGCAGCCUUGACGUUACCGACAGAAUAAGCACCGGCUAACUUCGUGCCAGCCGCCGCAGUAA
RNAcentral lists this ribosomal RNA (500 nucleotides) under uncultured bacterium. RNAcentral's name for it is "partial 16S ribosomal RNA". It matches the Rfam family "Bacterial small subunit ribosomal RNA", at positions 29 to 523 of the family's 1533-position model. The record is from RNAcentral.